UAAAUCUUGGAUAAGUGCCACAGUUGGUGAAGUUUCUGAUUAGCUGCGGAUCAUGGUGCCUACGGACAGCACAUGAUUUUGUAAUGAUAGACCAUGUUAGCAAGAAGUUUGGAGGCCCCUGCAACAGAGAUGCAUUCCUUAUUUAGAAGCUCAUAGAUUCUGCAUUAUUGAGGCAACAACCCACUCCCAGAAGCUGCAAUCUGCUGCACCCCCAGCCAUGGUUCCCUGAAGGUAAGGGUGUAUCUCUAUUUUCACUGUCUGGGAGGCAAUAGAAGCACCUGCUAUGGUCCAGGAAUUAGUUGCAAGAAUGAUUCCUUGGAUUAAUUUGAAGGCCAUGGUGGUAUUCCCAUGAAACAUUUUGAUUUUUGCUCCUCUGGGACACCCCAGCUGGGUGCAGCCAGGCUCAGCCCAUCACUAGGACUUCCUGAACCAAGGGGAUCUGAUAGACCUCUGAAUUAAAAAAAAAAAAAAAACAAAACAAAACAAAAAAACAAAAAAACAAAAAAAAAACCCAUGCUGGUUCAUCGGCAUCCACUGCUCCAAUAUGCUGGCCAGUGCCAUUAUCUAUUAAGUCUUAUUUAGUGUUUUGAUACUAUUUUCUGCAUACAUAGCCUGUCAACUUCUCCUGAACAAAGUAUUUGAGAUAGUUACUAUUCCAAAUUUGGGUUCUGUGUGUCAACAGUCCUAUACAAAUAUGUUAACUGUAAAAACAAAACAAAACAAAAACCAAACUAAACCACCACAACAAAAAACCUAAAAUAUUCUUAAUGAAUUAAUUGUACUGAGAUAAUAGGCUUUUUUUCCAUGAAAACACAGAGGAGUUUAAACAUCAAAAGGAUUCAACAUCUAUUGAGGACCUGCAAAUUACUGGCCACUAUAAUGGGUGCUGGGAAUAGAGGCAUGAAUUAGCAAUGACUCUUGAUAUGCAGGAGAAAAGUGAAGGACAAAGACUUCCAAACAGAAAUUGAGUUUGUGUUGGUUGGAGAUAGGUGGCAGAGCUAGGUCACGUAAAGAUUCUGGCAUACAUGUAAGAGGUGUUUUCUUUUCAAAAGGUAGUUAGCUAGUUACAUUUGGUUUCAAUGCAAAGUAAAAUAUUGCUAUGUGAGGGCGUUACACUCCUCUUUAUCAAGCUCCUAGGGGUGCCUGCAGUGGAUGGCAGCAAGCCUAGUGCUCCAUUGUUUAUAACAAAAAAUGUUUUAAAAUGAAUAAAAAUCCCCUAAGUUCUGU
Molecule: long non-coding RNA, 1227 nt
Filed under: Cricetulus griseus (Chinese hamster)
Lineage: Eukaryota; Metazoa; Chordata; Mammalia; Rodentia; Cricetidae
Description: lncRNA (ENSCGRG00015024131.2)
Source: RNAcentral